UACAGCCUUGCUGAAUUAUUCACCCUUGUCUUUUGCGUACUUCUUGUUUCCUUGGUGGGUUCGCCCACCACUAGGACAAACAUAAACCUUUUGUAAUUGCAAUCAGCGUCAGUAACAAAUUAAUAAUUACAACUUUCAACAACGGAUCUCUUGGUUCUGGCAUCGAUGAAGAACGCAGCGAAAUGCGAUAAGUAGUGUGAAUUGCAGAAUUCAGUGAAUCAUCGAAUCUUUGAACGCACAUUGCGCCCUUUGGUAUUCCAAAGGGCAUGCCUGUUCGAGCGUCAUUUGUACCCUCAAGCUUUGCUUGGUGUUGGGCGUCUUGUCUCUAGCUUUGCUGGAGACUCGCCUUAAAGUAAUUGGCAGCCGGCCUACUGGUUUCGGAGCGCAGCACAAGUCGCACUCUCUAUCAGCAAAGGUCUAGCAUCCAUUAAGCCUUUUUUUCAACUUUUGACCUCGGAUCAGGUAGGGAUACCCGCUGAACUUAAGCAUAU
RNAcentral lists this ribosomal RNA (491 nucleotides) under Alternaria porri. RNAcentral describes it as "eukaryotic LSU rRNA". The stretch from base 131 to 284 matches the Rfam family "5.8S ribosomal RNA". The record is from RNAcentral. Lineage: Eukaryota; Fungi; Ascomycota; Dothideomycetes; Pleosporales; Pleosporaceae. RNAcentral also lists the same sequence under 2 other names.